CCUACGGGUGGCAGCAGUGAGGAAUAUUGGUCAAUGGGCUUACGCCUGAACCAGCCAAGUCGCGUGGGGGAAGACUGCCCUAUGGGUUGUAAACCUCUUUUGUCAGGGAGCAACGCCGGCUACGUGUAGCCGGACUGAGAGUACCUGACGAAAAAGCAUCGGCUAACUCCGUGCCAGCAGCCACGGUAGUACGGAGGAGGCGAGCAUUAUCCGGAUUUAUUUGGUUUAAAGGGUGCGUAGGCGGCAUGCCAAGUCAGCGGUAAAAGCGCGGGGCUAAACCGCGCGACGCAGUUGAAACUGGCGUUCUUGAGUGGGGGAGAAGUAUGCGGAAGGCGUGGUGUAGCGGUGAAAUGCAUAGAUAUCACGCAGAACUCCGAUUGCGAAGGCAGCAUACCGGCGCCCAACUGACGCUGAAGUACGAAAGCGUGGGUAUCGAACAGGAUUAGAUACCCGAGUAGUC
RNAcentral lists this ribosomal RNA (460 nucleotides) under uncultured bacterium. RNAcentral describes it as "partial 16S ribosomal RNA". It matches the Rfam family "Bacterial small subunit ribosomal RNA", at positions 338 to 795 of the family's 1533-position model. The record is from RNAcentral.